CCUACGGGGUGCAGCAGUGGGGAAUAUUGCACAAUGGGCGCAAGCCUGAUGCAGCCAUGCCGCGUGUAUGAAGAAGGCCUUCGGGUUGUAAAGUACUUUCAGCGGGGAGGAAGGUGUUGAGGUUAAUAACCUCAGCAAUUGACGUUACCCGCAGAAGAAGCACCGGCUAACUCCGUGCCAGCAGCCGCGGUAAUACGGAGGGUGCAAGCGUUAAUCGGAAUUACUGGGCGUAAGGCGCACGCAGGCGGUCUGUCAAGUCGGAUGUGAAAUCCCCGGGCUUAACCUGGGAAUGGCAUCUAGGACUGGUCAGCUAGAGUCUUGUAGAGGGGGGUAGAAUUCCAUGUGUAGCGGUGAAAUGCGUAGAGAUGUGGAGGAAUACCGGUGGCGAAGGCGGCCCCCUGGACAAAGACUGACGCUCAGGUGCGAAAGCGUGGGGAGCAAACAGGAUUAGAUACCCUAGUAGUC
Molecule: ribosomal RNA, 465 nt
Filed under: uncultured bacterium
Lineage: Bacteria
Description: bacterial SSU rRNA
Rfam family: Bacterial small subunit ribosomal RNA
Source: RNAcentral